This is a long non-coding RNA of Talpa occidentalis (Iberian mole), 756 nucleotides long. RefSeq lists it as uncharacterized. The record is from RefSeq and is a predicted model, not a curated record. The transcript has 4 exons. NCBI's taxonomy places the organism in Eukaryota, Metazoa, Chordata, Mammalia, Eulipotyphla, Talpidae.
GCGCCGCCCGCUGCGGUGAGUUGGAGCCCGGCCUGUUUCUGGCCACUGUGCCGGGAGCUCCAGGCCCUCUUUGGCGGGGUGGCGCCAUCUUGGACGAGUGACCUUUUGCUCGGGACUUCUGGACACUGUGGACACUUUCUGGGAUGCACUGUCUUGCCCUCCUGCGCCUAUGGCCUAGACUCUACCACCUGGCUCGCUGAUCCUCUCCAGAGAGUGAACCUCCUCUUUUGUCUAGUGGGGUCUUGCUUGGAGUUCCGUGGUCCAGCAGUGCCUAUGUGAAUGACUUGGUUAAGAAAAUAGGCAUUUUUCUGUGUUCACAGAUAGGAGGAUGGGAGAGCAAAAUCUACCCAGUUUUGCUUUUUCCCCUGCUACAUCUUCACAGGGCCGCUCUGGGAAGCAAUACUCAUCCCGUUCCAGAAGAACAAAAUCACAGCAUGACGUUGAAACCUGGGGGGAACUUAGCCAUCUGCCUGCGAAAGUGUGGAGCUUCGGCACUGCCAAGCUCUGGGAUGGGCGGGUCCCGGGGCUGGUCCGGCGUUUAACUUGCCCCAACAGGUAGCCUGCCUGCGGCAUCCCUGAAGACCAGGAGGAUGGGCCCCCAGGCAGGAACAGGUGGAAUUCUUGCUGACUCUAAUUGAGGAGUUUUAUGGAGCAGGCUAUGCAAAUACAUGCGAAGAAGGAGAGGCAAAAACAAGUCAAGUCAUACACUGAAAGAGAAUUUAUUUUAAAGGCGAUGGAGUUGAUGCUUUUAAUAAA